UGUUGCCUGCAUAUAAGGCCUUGUGCCAUACAGACAACCUGCAGAUUUAUGGACAGGCAACUGGUGAUCACGUGAGAGAAGGAACAUCAAAUGUCCAUGAAAUAAAAAUAUGCCAUCUUGAUGCCAAUGCUAAGGUAGCUGAGUGUGUUAACUGAAUGUAAGGAGCUUUUAGGCAACUGGUUUAUAUGUAGGUCUGAGCACUGAGAUUUUUGGAUUUUCUCAGAUGAAUGUCAUCAGAAAUGUCCAUUAAUUAAAAUUAAAACUCAUUAAGUUCCUAGCAACUGCAAAUAUUUUGAUGUACACAAUGCAAUGAUUCUUUUGGUUUGCUUCCAACUGGAGAUAUUCUAUGAUUCAACAUACUGAUUUUCUUCUUUUCAAAGAGUUUUUGAGAUGCUCAUUUUAUGAACAGAUCUUGUCAUGAUCACCGGAGGAGUCUUUCAAAGAGAGAUUUUAAGGCUACCAGUAUCAGAACAAUCAAUUAAUACAGAGAGAGAAUAAAUUAAGGCAUAUUUCAUUGAGAAUUCCUCACUACUAGGUCUUUCCUAAAGCACCAGCUCAGGUAAUAUCUGUGAGGGCUUCUGGCAGUUACCAAUACUUUGAAAUGUGUGCCCAUAUACAAACUACUGUGAGGUACGUUGUUGGUGUUACUGUCACAGAGGUUUGAACUGUCUAUUGUGGAGAAGAGUCUAACUGUGAAAAUGACUUAUUGGCUUCUCUUACAGAGCUACACUGGAUGCCUGUCUCACAGCUCAGCACAAGCUUUUUUUUUUUUUUUUUUUUUUUUUUUUUGGAUCAUUUUGUGCUUUAUGGGCUUCACAGUGAAGGUUGGUUUCAAAGAGAGAGGUGUGGGAGUCACUGUCCUUAGUGAGGUUCAAAAGCUGUGUGGGCAUGGUGCUGGGCAGAGGUGGGAGUUGAACCAGAUGACCUCAAGACUUGCUAUCCAACCUCAGUCAUUCAAUGGUUCUAUGGAGAGGCAAAUGAAGAACAGCAAAAAUGUCUGAAAGGAGUCAGAUGAGGAAUGUGGGGAGAAAGAUGACUUCCAGUAGUCCUCAGUUAAAGAAAGUUGAAGAAAAAUUCAGGUGUGCGCCAGCAAGGUAAGGUUGCAUGGGUCAAGACUGAAAGGAGAAGAUACAAGAUGAUGAAAGCCCAAAUGAGACCUUCCCUUUUGUGGUUGGACAGAAGUCAUCAUUUCCACUAAUAUAUUUACUGAGGUAAGGCUAAAUGGCUAAUGAGAUGGAAAUUUAUGCACUCCCUAUGAAAAUUUGCAGCUUAUCUUUAGCUCCUCAAAGGGAUGUGAAGAGAGGAAGCCAAACUGAGCAGGCUGAGAUUUCAGUGGACAGCUCUGUAUGCCACCUGCACAGAAGUGGCAGCUGGAAAAUGAGAAUAUCCAGAGUUGUAGAAAGGGAGACAUUAGAUUUUAUGACACUGCGAGCAUCUAUUUUGGAAAAGUCAAUGCAAAUGAAUCUUCAGAGAAUCUGAAAGGAGUGCUAAACUGGUUGGCAUAUACUCAGAAAAUGGAGGACCCUAUAUCAAGAUCAUACAGCCAGCGGAAGAGACGAUUUAGAAAGUGAUUUUUCAUCUUAACCAAUGAUGUAGCAUCAUCAAUUUUCCCAGACAGCCUUCAGGUCCCCAGGGCUUCAGGAUGGCACCUAAGAGAUAAUGUGACAUAGGACUUGGUCCAACGCUGUCUAAUUUUUAGGAACAACUCCAUGGGAAUACACUGUCUUUGUGAGGUCAGUUUGCUGUUGCCAUAACAAAGGUAGAUUAACAAAUAAUCAGUGGGAUAGAAUAGGGAGUGCUGAAAUACUAGAAGUUAUGUGGCAUAAAAUAUUGCAGGUUUUACAUGUAGAAGGAGAGAAAUUUGUCUGACAAACGGCAAGUGUAGCAUCAGUAGUUGUCCCAGCAUAAACUGUUCCAAAAGAAAAGACCUGUGUGACUUUUAUUUGUGCAGUAGAUGCUGGGAGGAGACCUGGAUUCCAUAAACUACAGCAGUUGAAACAUUUGUAAAAUAAUUUAUCUAUCACUGGAGACCACCUUUCAGGGAAACCAUCCAAAUGUUGGAGAUAGUUCAAAGGAGAGAUGCAAAUACAAGACACAGCAGGAAAAUAAAUCUCUCAGUAUGAAGCCUAAGAAGCUUAACUUUUUCAGAUUGAUGUAUGGAAGGCUAAGGCAUAAUGCCAUUUAAUGAAAAAGGCUUCUGGUUCACCACCUGUAGCAGUCCCAAUGGCUCCACCUGGAAAUAUCUUGCCCACCUCCAGGAGAAUGGAGAAAUCUUGUAGCAGGCUUCAUAU
This is a long non-coding RNA of Gallus gallus (chicken), 2291 nucleotides long. The record is from Ensembl. Lineage: Eukaryota; Metazoa; Chordata; Aves; Galliformes; Phasianidae.